UGCAGUCGAACGCGUCUUGGUCAAUGAUUUUAGGUGCUUGCACUUGGAUGAUUUGACAUUGAGACGAGUGGCGAACUGGUGAGUAACACGUGGGUAACCUGCCCUUGAAGUAGAGGAUAACACUUGGAAACAGGUGCUAAUACUGCAUAACAACGAAAACCGCCUGGUUUUCGUUUGAAAGAUGGCUUCGGCUAUCGCUUUAGGAUGGACCCGCGGCGUAUUAGCUAGUUGGUGAGGUAACGGCUCACCAAGGCAAUGAUACGUAGCCGACCUGAGAGGGUAAUCGGCCACAUUGGGACUGAGACACGGCCCAAACUCCUACGGGAGGCAGCAGUAGGGAAUCUUCCACAAUGGACGAAAGUCUGAUGGAGCAACGCCGCGUGAGUGAUGAAGGGUUUCGGCUCGUAAAACUCUGUUGUUGGAGAAGAACGGGUGUCAGAGUAACUGUUGACAUCGUGACGGUAUCCAACCAGAAAGCCACGGCUAACUACGUGCCAGCAGCCGCGGUAAUACGUAGGUGGCAAGCGUUGUCCGGAUUUAUUGGGCGUAAAGCGAGCGCAGGCGGUUUUUUAGGUCUGAUGUGAAAGCCUUCGGCUUAACCGGAGAAGUGCAUCGGAAACCGGGAGACUUGAGUGCAGAAGAGGACAGUGGAACUCCAUGUGUAGCGGUGAAAUGCGUAGAUAUAUGGAAGAACACCAGUGGCGAAGGCGGCUGUCUGGUCUGCAACUGACGCUGAGGCUCGAAAGCAUGGGUAGCGAACAGGAUUAGAUACCCUGGUAGUCCAUGCCGUAAACGAUGAGUGCUAAGUGUUGGAGGGUUUCCGCCCUUCAGUGCUGCAGCUAACGCAUUAAGCACUCCGCCUGGGGAGUACGACCGCAAGGUUGAAACUCAAAGGAAUUGACGGGGGCCCGCACAAGCGGUGGAGCAUGUGGUUUAAUUCGAUGCUACGCGAAGAACCUUACCAGGUCUUGACAUCUUCUGCCACCUAAGAGAUUAGGCGUUCCCUUCGGGGACAGAAUGACAGGUGGUGCAUGGUUGUCGUCAGCUCGUGUCGUGAGAUGUUGGGUUAAGUCCCGCAACGAGCGCAACCCUUAUUGUUAGUUGCCAGCAUUUAGUUGG
RNAcentral lists this ribosomal RNA (1119 nucleotides) under Lentilactobacillus diolivorans. RNAcentral's name for it is "bacterial SSU rRNA". It matches the Rfam family "Bacterial small subunit ribosomal RNA", at positions 56 to 1134 of the family's 1533-position model. The record is from RNAcentral. Lineage: Bacteria; Bacillati; Bacillota; Bacilli; Lactobacillales; Lactobacillaceae.